Molecule: ribosomal RNA, 468 nt
Filed under: uncultured bacterium
Lineage: Bacteria
Description: partial 16S ribosomal RNA
Rfam family: Bacterial small subunit ribosomal RNA
Source: RNAcentral
GACGAACGCUGGCGGCGUGCUUAACACAUGCAAGUCGAACGGAAAGGCCCUGCUUUUGUGGGGUGCUCGAGUGGCGAACGGGUGAGUAACACGUGAGUAACCUGCCCUUGACUUUGGGAUAACUUCAGGAAACUGGGGCUAAUACCGGAUAGGAGCUCCUGCUGCAUGGUGGGGGUUGGAAAGUUUCGGCGGUUGGGGAUGGACUCGCGGCUUAUCAGCCUGUUGGUGGGGUAGUGGCUUACCAAGGCUUUGACGGGUAGCCGGCCUGAGAGGGUGACCGGCCAUAGUGGGACUGUGUUGCAGCCCGGACUGCUCCGGGAGGCAGCAGUGCGGGGUGGUGCAGUAUGGGCGGACCGUUGAUACCGGCUCGCCGCGGGCCGGAGGGGGGCCUGCGGGUUGUGGGCGAAUUCCCCGCGGCAAGCUGCGUGAGUGCCGGUAAUGGGUAAGGCAGCACCCGCUAACUAGGUC